GGCUGGUCCGAUGGCAGUGGGUUAUCAGAACUUAUUAACAUUAGUGUCACUAAAGUUGGUAUACCACCUCCCACCACUGCUAAAUUUGACUGGCUUUAA
Molecule: unclassified non-coding RNA, 99 nt
Organism: Cavia porcellus (domestic guinea pig)
Lineage: Eukaryota; Metazoa; Chordata; Mammalia; Rodentia; Caviidae
Rfam family: Y RNA
About the family: Y RNAs are components of the Ro ribonucleoprotein particle (Ro RNP), in association with Ro60 and La proteins. The Y RNAs and Ro60 and La proteins are well conserved, but the function of the Ro RNP is not known. In humans the RNA component can be one of four small RNAs -- hY1, hY3, hY4 and hY5.
Source: Ensembl